This 642-nucleotide ribosomal RNA is filed under the name Bacillus sp. (in: firmicutes). RNAcentral's name for it is "bacterial SSU rRNA". It matches the Rfam family "Bacterial small subunit ribosomal RNA", at positions 37 to 662 of the family's 1533-position model. Lineage: Bacteria; Bacillati; Bacillota; Bacilli; Caryophanales; Bacillaceae. The record is from RNAcentral.
UGGCGGCGUGCCUAUACAUGCAAGUCGAGCGGACAGAUGGGAGCUUGCUCCCUGAUGUUAGCGGCGGACGGGUGAGUAACACGUGGGUAACCUGCCUGUAAGACUGGGAUAACUCCGGGAAACCGGGGCUAAUACCGGAUGCUUGUUUGAACCGCAUGGUUCAAACAUAAAAGGUGGCUUCGGCUACCACUUACAGAUGGACCCGCGGCGCAUUAGCUAGUUGGUGAGGUAACGGCUCACCAAGGCAACGAUGCGUAGCCGACCUGAGAGGGUGAUCGGCCACACUGGGACUGAGACACGGCCCAGACUCCUACGGGAGGCAGCAGUAGGGAAUCUUCCGCAAUGGACGAAAGUCUGACGGAGCAACGCCGCGUGAGUGAUGAAGGUUUUCGGAUCGUAAAGCUCUGUUGUUAGGGAAGAACAAGUACCGUUCGAAUAGGGCGGUACCUUGACGGUACCUAACCAGAAAGCCACGGCUAACUACGUGCCAGCAGCCGCGGUAAUACGUAGGUGGCAAGCGUUGUCCGGAAUUAUUGGGCGUAAAGGGCUCGCAGGCGGUUUCUUAAGUCUGAUGUGAAAGCCCCCGGCUCAACCGGGGAGGGUCAUUGGAAACUGGGGAACUUGAGUGCAGAAGAGGAGAGU